CAGGAAGAAGUGAGGCUAUAAGUAUGUUCUUUACCUCAGAUUCCAGUGCCGCAAAGUGAAAAUGGAACAGAGGCCAGGAGACGACUCAGAAAUCUGUUACACCAGCUGAGAUGGACAUCAGUAGCAGCUUGGGGGAGGAAGCACCAAUCUGCAAAGGACCCUUAACAUCUGGCUACUUAAGCAGCCAUUUACAGGCCAGGGUUAUUUCCUCCAAGACCUGUUGUGCGAUGCAGAAAUUCAUCCGCUUUGGGGCAUCCAAAGACUGGAAGGUGAGGGAGGCCUUUGCCUCACCUGUAAUUCUUGCAUCUACCACCAGGAGCCAAGGAACUAAGUAGGUAUCAAAAUCAGCCAGGGUGAGGAAGCCCUGCCCCGUGAGUGGGACUCUAAUAUCCAAAUUGUUUUUGUACAGCAUUUUAACAAUAUUGUACACUCUCCCAAGGACUUUGGUUAGUAGGCAGGGUAUAAAUAUUUCAACUACACAGAUGUAAAUAUAUUGAAAUAAAUGGGCUUAAGCAUGCAUAACUGCGCUGGAUAGGGGCCAUUAUCUUUAAAUAUGGGUCUAAAGUAGACUGAAGGUUCAGAGUAGGAUUUUAUAAGAGCCCAAGACCACUAAUACCAAGUCAAGAACUGCAUGCCCUCCUACCUUCUGCAUUACAGUGGUAGAAACAGCCCCAUGUGUGUUUCUGGGAAUGCAAUUUGGCUUGAGUGGACCAUGAAAUGGCCAAUGAAAGUCAAUGGCUGCAACCCAGUGAAACUAAAAGGUAUACACAUGUUCCUUUUGUGCUCUUUAUAACCCAGAAGUCCUCAGCCCUAGUAAAUGAUAAACUGCUUUAUAAUUCAGAAUUUAAAACUUAAGUUUGAUCCUUCUGCAGCACAGGUUGGUUAUUUAAUAAUAAAAGACAAAAAAAUAUUGGGAGUGUGAACAUGUCUUCCAUACAGGGAACUAGUUUGCAGACAGAGAUGUUGCAUCUUUAACUAUAACAUAUUAAAAUCAGCUCCUAAAUCAUU
Long non-coding RNA from Podarcis raffonei (Aeolian wall lizard), 1008 nucleotides. RefSeq lists it as uncharacterized. NCBI's taxonomy places the organism in Eukaryota, Metazoa, Chordata, Lepidosauria, Squamata, Lacertidae. The transcript is spliced from 2 exons. The record is from RefSeq and is a predicted model, not a curated record.